ACGAAAAAGAGAAAGAAAAGAAAAUCGAGAAAAUCGUCGGGACGCCGAAAGAGCAACGGGCGACGCCCCCCGAACCCAAAUAAGGCGGCGUGCCCCACCAGGCCGUACGAAGACCCCCGUCUCACCGUCGCCCCCGCUGCCGCGAACCCCUUCGGCUCGCGGCUCAAAGGGUCGACGACGAAGACGAUCACGACCACGACGAAGAUCCUAACGAGACGCUUGGACGUUACUUGCUAUAGGAGCUCUACCGAAACGUGUACCGAAACAAAACUUUUCCUCCGUUCUUUCUUCCUUAACCAACAAUUUUACACUUUUUUUAAGCCCUUAACUUAUCAAAGUCUAAAACGACUCUUCCGGAAAUCCUCUUUUCACAUAAUCGUCUCUUAUUUUCAAACUGUAUCGAAUACUAGAGCUCGAGAUCCCCGAGAUCUCAGUUUCCUGUAUCCACCUUUGACCCCCCGGUUGAAUUUUCCGGAGGUGCGAAAACCUCCUUAAAAAUCGCAUCGCGCGGCGGAAGAUUUCUUCAAUUUUCUUUCCUUCGCUCUGAAACUUUUCUCAUUCGCUUUUCUACCCGAAUUUAUUUGAUUUUUAUUCUCGAUCCCUCCUCUGUACUUUCCCCUCAACAUUCAGCAGUGCGAUUAUUAUAAAAGUUGUUAUUUCAUUCGUCGUUAUAUUCCCCUGAAAUUUUAUCGGAAGUGACUAUAAAAAACGAUCCCGAGGGACCUCGAAGACGAUCGGAAAAACAACGAGGGAUUUGAUGGAUCAAAGUUUACCGCACCCGUUUCAACGUGAAAAGGAGGAGAGGAAAAGGAAGACGAGUUGGAGUCCUGUGAGGGUGAAGAGAGAACGAAUUUGCGUAGAAAAAAUGGUGUGAGAUAAUGUAUAUUUGCCUUUGACAAUUGACAUUGUAUAACAAUAAUAUAGUGUAAUAUUUACAAAAUAAAUUAAUUAGUAUAAUAGACGUA
Molecule: long non-coding RNA, 965 nt
Organism: Venturia canescens
Lineage: Eukaryota; Metazoa; Arthropoda; Insecta; Hymenoptera; Ichneumonidae
Exons: 2
Source: RefSeq, a predicted model, not a curated record